CUUUUNAAGAAUUAACCCAACCNCCAAGCCAGAUAUUCAGAUAAUGAUUAGCUGAGCGAUGGACAACUUUUUAAAUUAUAUUUGAGAGUUUGAUCCUGGCUCAGGAUGAACGCUGGCGGCGUGCCUAACACAUGCAAGUCGAGCGAUCUCUUCGGAGAGAGCGGCGGACGGGUGAGUAACGCGUGGGUAACCUGCCCUGUACACACGGAUAACAUACCGAAAGGUAUACUAAUACGGGAUAACAUAUGAAAGUCGCAUGGCUUUUGUAUCAAAGCUCCGGCGGUACAGGAUGGACCCGCGUCUGAUUAGCUAGUUGGUAAGGUCAAUGGCUUACCAAGGCCACGAUCAGUAGCCGACCUGAGAGGGUGAUCGGCCACACUGGAACUGAGACACGGUCCAGACUCCUACGGGAGGCAGCAGUGGGGAAUAUUGCACAAUGGGCGAAAGCCUGAUGCAGCAACGCCGCGUGGAGCGUAUGAAGGCCUUCGGGUCGUAAAGCUCUGUCCUCAAGGAAGAUAGNGUCCCCNCNAGUNAGGCNCCNGGCCCCAGUGGNANCNCAANAGNNNAGC
This 569-nucleotide ribosomal RNA is filed under the name Clostridium sp. MT 29. RNAcentral's name for it is "partial 16S ribosomal RNA". The stretch from base 78 to 569 matches the Rfam family "Bacterial small subunit ribosomal RNA", at positions 1 to 470 of the family's 1533-position model. Lineage: Bacteria; Bacillati; Bacillota; Clostridia; Eubacteriales; Clostridiaceae. The record is from RNAcentral.